This 253-nucleotide ribosomal RNA is filed under the name uncultured bacterium. RNAcentral describes it as "partial 16S ribosomal RNA". It matches the Rfam family "Bacterial small subunit ribosomal RNA", at positions 524 to 776 of the family's 1533-position model. The record is from RNAcentral.
GACGUAGGGCGCGAGCGUUGUCCGGAUUUAUUGGGCGUAAAGAGCUCGUAGGCGGCUUGUCGCGUCGACUGUGAAAAACCACGACUCAACCGUGGGACUGCAGUCGAUACGGGCAGGCUAGAGUUCGGUAGGGGAGGCUGGAAUUCCUGGUGUAGCGGUGAAAUGCGCAGAUAUCAGGAGGAACACCGGUGGCGAAGGCGGGUCUCUGGGCCGAUACUGACGCUGAGGAGCGAAAGCGUGGGGAGCGAACAGG